GACGAACGCUGGCGGCGUGCUUAACACAUGCAAGUCGAACGGUGAAGGGACCAGCUUGCUGGUUCUGGAUGAGUGGCGAACGGGUGAGUAACACGUGAGUAACCUGCCCCCUUCUUCUGGAUAACCGCAUGAAAGUGUGGCUAAUACGGGAUAUUCUGGGUCUGUCGCAUGGCGGGCCCGGGAAAGAUAUUGCUUCGGUGGGGGAUGGGCUCGCGGCCUAUCAGCUUGUUGGUGGGGUGAUGGCCUACCAAGGCGGUGACGGGUAGCCGGCCUGAGAGGGUGGACGGUCACACUGGGACUAAGACACAGCCCAGACUCCUACGGGAGGCAGCAGUGGGGAAUAUUGCACAAUGGGCGCAAGCCUGAUGCAGCGACGCCGCGUGAGGGAUGGAGGCCUUCGGGUUGUAAACCUCUUUCGCCAGUGAAGCAGGCCUGCUCCUUGUGGGUGGGUUGACGGUAGCUGGAGAAGAAGCGCCGGCUAACUACGUG
This 489-nucleotide ribosomal RNA is filed under the name uncultured bacterium. Its description in RNAcentral is "partial 16S ribosomal RNA". It matches the Rfam family "Bacterial small subunit ribosomal RNA", at positions 28 to 507 of the family's 1533-position model. The record is from RNAcentral.